AGACAUGAGGGUGAUCUGUAUGGAACUUUUGUCACCCCACUGAUCACCACGGUUGAUUUGCCUGAUGUGGCUGGCUAGGCGGAUGGCUCCUUCCUCCCUCACCACUCUACGUGCACCCCUCCUAAAGCUGUGUGCUUGGUUGAAGGGGAUGAACUGCCCCUAAACAGAGUCGGUCAGGGUAUACAAGUAGCUGCAUUCCUCUACUAGAACCUUCAAACUGGCUCAACUGCAGGGCCUGAUCUGUGAUCUGUAGUAUACUACCCAGCCCUGUGAUGUGACUGCUGCU
This is an unclassified non-coding RNA of Erinaceus europaeus (western European hedgehog), 286 nucleotides long. Its record names the gene 7SK. It matches the Rfam family "7SK RNA". From Rfam's summary of the family: 7SK was discovered as an abundant small nuclear RNA in the mid-70s but a possible function has only recently been suggested. Two independent studies have found that 7SK RNA binds the CDK9/cyclin T complex (known as elongation factor P-TEFb). Lineage: Eukaryota; Metazoa; Chordata; Mammalia; Eulipotyphla; Erinaceidae. The record is from Ensembl.